This 453-nucleotide ribosomal RNA is filed under the name uncultured Porphyromonadaceae bacterium. Its description in RNAcentral is "partial 16S ribosomal RNA". It matches the Rfam family "Bacterial small subunit ribosomal RNA", at positions 341 to 792 of the family's 1533-position model. Lineage: Bacteria; Pseudomonadati; Bacteroidota; Bacteroidia; Bacteroidales; Porphyromonadaceae. The record is from RNAcentral.
ACGGAAGGCAGCAGUGAGGAAUAUUGGUCAAUGGGCGGAAGCCUGAACCAGCCAAGUCGCGUGAAGGAUGAAGGUAUUAUGUAUUGUAAACUUCUUUAGCUGUGGAGCAAUAAUCGCCAUGUAUGGCGAGAUGAGAGUACACAGAGAAUAAGGAUCGGCUAACUCCGUGCCAGCAGCCGCGGUAAUACGGAGGAUCCGAGCGUUAUCCGGAUUUAUUGGGUUUAAAGGGUGCGCAGGCGGCUUUCUAAGUCAGUGGUUAAAUAGCGGUGCUCAACGCCGUCCCGCCAUUGAUACUGGAGAGCUUGAUUGCGGUCGAGGUUUGCGGAAUUCGUCGUGUAGCGGUGAAAUGCAUAGAUAUGACGAAGAACACCGAUUGCGUAGGCAGCAGACCAGUCCGUAAAUGACGCUCAUGCACGAAAGUGCGGGGAUCAAACAGGAUUAGAUACCCUGGUA